RNAcentral lists this ribosomal RNA (465 nucleotides) under Vreelandella stevensii. RNAcentral describes it as "partial 16S ribosomal RNA". It matches the Rfam family "Bacterial small subunit ribosomal RNA", at positions 338 to 795 of the family's 1533-position model. Lineage: Bacteria; Pseudomonadati; Pseudomonadota; Gammaproteobacteria; Oceanospirillales; Halomonadaceae. The record is from RNAcentral.
CCUACGGGAGGCUGCAGUGGGGAAUAUUGGACAAUGGGGGCAACCCUGAUCCAGCCAUGCCGCGUGUGUGAAGAAGGCCCUCGGGUUGUAAAGCACUUUCAGUGAGGAAGAACGCCUGGUGGUUAAUACCCAUCAGGAAAGACAUCACUCACAGAAGAAGCACCGGCUAACUCCGUGCCAGCAGCCGCGGUAAUACGGAGGGUGCGAGCGUUAAUCAGAAUUACUGGGCGUAAAGCGCGCGUAGGUGGCUUGAUAAGCCGGUUGUGAAAGCCCCGGGCUCAACCUGGGAACGGCAUCCGGAACUGUCAAGCUAGAGUGCAGGAGAGGAAGGUAGAAUUCCCGGUGUAGCGGUGAAAUGCGUAGAGAUCGGGAGGAAUACCAGUGGCGAAGGCGGCCUUCUGGACUGACACUGACACUGAGGUGCGAAAGCGUGGGUAGCAAACAGGAUUAGAUACCCCAGUAGUC